Molecule: non-coding RNA, 69 nt
Organism: Ictidomys tridecemlineatus (thirteen-lined ground squirrel)
Lineage: Eukaryota; Metazoa; Chordata; Mammalia; Rodentia; Sciuridae
Source: Rfam
GGGAUUGUAGUUCAGUGGUAGAGUGCUUGCCUGGCAGGCAUGAGGCACUGGGUUCGACCCUCAGCACCA